This 5643-nucleotide long non-coding RNA is filed under the name Marmota monax (woodchuck). Lineage: Eukaryota; Metazoa; Chordata; Mammalia; Rodentia; Sciuridae. The record is from RNAcentral.
AGCCUUUGUUCGCAGCACUUCAGUAUGCAUUACAGAGCUCCGUGGUGCUUUAAGCAUGGGUUACAAAGUUGCAAAAGAAUACUUGGUGGCAAACUGUCAAGCAAGACCUUAUUUUACAUUUAAUGCCUUGUAGGAAGAAGAGGACACAAGAGGAAUCUUUGGAGAAGACAGGAGAGUUCAGUUGUUGUGAAAAGCAAGGAAUCCAUGCCUUCCAUUGCUGGGGAUCUCCAAGUCACUUGCUGGUUUUGCUGAGCCAGGUCUGGGUGCCAUCCUUAAAUGGAAGAGAAUAUUUACAAAAGAAAAUACAUUCUUCAGGUGGGUAUUUUGUAAUGUACUCCUGAGAGCUGUCGUAGAGAUAAGUUUCAUAAUGGGUCCUUUUAGCAUGAGCUCUGAACCUUCCAUCUGACCCUUCGAAUUGAAUCAUUAAUCUGUGGUCCAGACUCAAACCUCCUGUGUUUCUUAUAACUAAUAAUCUUAUUUCCUUCAUGUUAGUCUAACUUCUGUUUGAAACAGAUGCUUUUAUAAUUGGAUCCCUGGUACUUAGUGGUCUACAAAAUAUGCAUUGAUCCAUGCAUGACCUUCUUUGUUAUUUUCAAUGAAGAUAAAACUCCUGAAACUCCCCCUCCCCCACUGCCAAAAAAAACACUAGGACCUUAACAAGAAAUUAAAACAUAUAUAUCUACCUUAUAAAUCCACAUUCAUCUGAUUUCCCUCCUUCUCCCAAGCCAAAGUGAACCAUCGUCCCAAGUUAUGUGAUUAAUAUUCCCUCGCAUUCUUUUCUAUAGGAUCUUAUCAAACUUCUUUGUGUGGGCUAGGGAUAUAACUCAGUUGGUAGAGUGCUUGCCUUGCAUGCACAAGGCCCGGGGUUCAAUCCCCAGCACAACAAGAAGCAAAAUAAAAAUAAAAAAGUCUUCUUUGUGUUAUACAUAUUUCAAAAAGUAUGUGUAUGCAUACAUGUUGUUUUAACUUUAUAAAAAUAAAAAAUAUAAUUAUAGGGCUUAUAUUGGCAAGAUACACCCUGGUGAUGCUUGUGGCAGGCAUUUGGAUUGGGCUUUCUAUAAUAUUUUAUUAUAUGAAUAUAUCAGAAUUGAUUUACCAACACUACCUUUCCUGGUUGUCUGGGUUACUCAUAAGUUCUUGAUAUUAUGAACUGUGCUUUUAUGAACAUUCUUACAUUUAUGCAGUUUUAUCCAUGUGCAAUCUAGGAGUGAAAUUGUUAGGUUAAGGGUUAUAUUCAACUUUAGGGGAGAGUGUCAAACUAUUUUUUUAAAUUUUUUUAUUGGUGCAUUAUAGUUUUAUCUAACAGAUUAUGUAUACAUGGAAUAUAAUUUUCCCAUUUCAUUCCCCAGUACUUCCUCUUUCCUUCCCCUCCUCCCUCACCUUUUAUCCUUCCUCUACUCUGCUGGCCUUCCUUUUCUUAUUGCUUCUUUUUAAGUUGGUGCUGUAUAGCUAUACAGAAAGGUGGAAUUCACUGUGGUAUAUUUGUAUGUAUUUAUACCAUAAUUUGGUCAAAUGUAUUCCAAAGUUCUUCCCUUUUCAUGUGCCUCCUCCCUCCCCCUCUACUCCACUGAUAUAUUUUCCUGGGAUCCACUCUCCUUUUUAAUUUUUUUUUUUUCUUAUUGUGCUCUAGCUUCCACAUAUGAGAAAAAAAUUAAAAAAUGGCCCUUGACUUUCUGAGCCUGGCUUAUUUCACUUAACAUGAUGUUCUCCAAUUUCAUCCAUUCAUUCAAUUACCAGUAAAUGCCAUCAUUUCAUUCUCCUUUAUAGCUGAGUAAAACUUGCUUGCAUAGAUAUACCACAUUUUCUUCAUUUAUUCAUGUGUUGACAGGCACAUGGGCUGGUUCCAUAACUAAGUUAUUGUGAAUUGUGUUGCAAUAAAUGUUGAUGUAGCUGAAUACCUAUAGUGUGCUGAUUUUAGAUCUUUUGGAUAAAUAUCAAGGAGUAAGAUAACUGGAUCAUCUGCUGAUUCCUUUGAGGAAUAUCCAUUGUGCUUUCCAAAGUGCUUGUACUAAUUCGAAGUCCCACUGACAAUGUCUGAGUGUACUUUUCCCCACCAGGUGCAUGGAGCCUGGUGGAGGAAGUGUGUUCCCGGGAAGUGUGUGUAGAGGGCCAGUGAGAUUUUGGGAAUAAAGGUUGCUGUUUGAACCUACAAGGCUGUGUUAUUUUGUGCCCAGCCAGACUGCGGCAGGGUACAUGGGAAUUUAUGGUAUAAUUUUUCCCCUAUGGCUGGGAACUGAACCUAGGACCUCAUACUCUACGUAAGCACUACUAUGCUCUAACACUGAGUCUCACUGUACAGCCCUGUAUAAUGUUUAUAUAAGUUUGAAAAUUAUAAUAUGCAGGUUGAGGGGGGUUGAUGUAAAAUGAAAUUUUUUUAUAAAAAAUGCUGAAAGCAUAUUCCUAUCAGUAACAACCAAAACUAAACAUUGUCUAAAGCUAUGAAAUUUUCUGGUAAAAGCUACUGAAACUUUUUUGUUUUAAUGAAUAUCCAAACUGACUAAUGUUGGCCAGUGUUUCAUUCUGGAAAACUAAUUUGAUAAAUGAGCAUUCAUAAAUUAAUUCCUGGGCUAUUAAGCCUUGAAGAAGAGAAUGCAGUCCUAGCAGGGGGAAAAAAAUAGAUGUGAGAAAGAGGAAGCAACAGAAUUUAGCUGGAAUUCUGCAACCCGGAGAGGGAGAAGGAAUAUGGAGAUUGGCAGGGCCCAGUCCUAGGUCAGUUAUAGCCAUGGUAGGGUUUUAUAAUACUUGGAAGUUGUAUUAUGAGGAUUUUUUUUCCUGAUUGUAAGCAUAAUGUGAUAUAAACAAAUUUGGACUAAGGAAAAGAAAAUGAAAACUAUAAUCCUGUCACUCACAUUUUUAUGAGACAUGCUAAUAAGAAUUUUUCUUGAUACUUUACUUUUUCUUCUGAAGGAUUGAAAGUCUUGAUAUGAUGACCAGUAGGUGACUGCCUGACCCCAGUCAAGGACCUUUCCAGAUAGUACCUUUGUCCACGCUGGAUCACCUACCAAUAUUGACCAUUAUUCUUUUUUUGAAAAAAAUAUUUAUUCUAAUUUAUUAUACAUAACAGCAGAAUGGAUUUCAAUUUAUAGUACACAUACAGAGCACAGUUUUCCAUGUCUCUGGUUGUAUAUGAAAUAGAGUCACACCAUUCGUGUCUUCAUACAUGUACUUAGGGUAAUGAUGUACAUCUCAUUUCACCGUCUUUCCUACCUGCAUGCUCCCUCCCUUCCUAUCCCUUCCCUUUGCCCUAUCUGAAGUUUCUCCAUUUAUACCAUGCUCCUCCUCACACCCUCAUUAUGGAUCAGCAUCCACAUAUCAGAGAAAACAUUUGGCCUUGGGGGUUGGCUUAUUUCACUUAGCAUGAUUUUCUUAUCUUUAAAAAAGAAAAUUACAGUAGUCCCUUUUAUCCACAUGGGGUAGGUUCCAAGACACCAGCAAAUGCCUGAAAACACACAAAAUUUUUUAUAAAAAAUGCUGAAAGCAUAUUCCUAUCAAUAACAAUCAAAACUAAACAUUGCCUAAAGCUAUGAAAGCUAUCUAUUGCUUUUUCUAUUCAUACAUGUAUACCUAUGAUAAAGUUUGUAAAUUAGGCACAGUAAGAGAAUAACAGCAAUAAUUAAUAAUAAAAUAUGACAGUUACAGCAAUAUACUAUAUAUGCAAAUGCUCACGCGCUCUCUCUCUCUCUCUCUCUCUCUCUCUCUCUCUUUGAAUGGAAUUUUAGUUAACUGAAACAGCAGACAUCAGAAUGCUGGAUAAGAGGGGUUUGUGAUUGUUAGAAAAUAUGAUGAGGAGAUAAAUAAAUAAAUGUGUGUAUGUAAUUUUUUACUAGACAGGUAUCAUUUCCAGCACUUUAGUGUGUAUCCUAGACUUUUCUUCUGUCAUUACUCACAUGGAUAUUAUGGAAUCUUCUCAUAGAGUAUAUUCUAGUUUGUAAGUUUUCUGCCUAACACUACAUAUAAUUCAUCAAUGUUAUAAAUGUUCAUCUACUUUAAUGUUUGAGUGGUACAGAAUAUUGCAUCAUGUGAGCAAUGUCUAAACUGCAUUUCAAAUGUGCAUCACAGUCACCAACCAAUCACAGUGGAUGCUGGCUAGUGCUCUCAUACACUGUCAUUGACCAGGUCUUCACUGAGCCAAUCGCACUUUGGUGACUUUUACAUUGUUUUUAUUUGUUCCCAACCAGUUGCAAGAAUGAAGUGAAUAUCUUAUAUACUAAACCUUUGUGCACAGCAUGAUCAUUGUGUAAGGAAACGUUUUAAUAAGUUUAAAAAUUCUUUUUUUUUAUAUAUAUUUGAACACACAAGUUUAUUUACCUGUUAAUACAAAGAUUUCUGAAAUGAUUUUUUCUAAAUUUUUAUUGUUGGUUGUUCAAAACAUUACAUAAUUCUUGAUAUAUCAUAUUUCACACUUUGAUUCAAGUGGGUUAACCAAAGGAAUUUCCAUGUUUUAACUUUUAUAAUUUAUUUAACCAAAUUGUUCUCCAAGGUUUUAUUAAUUUACAUUGACAUUGGUAGGAAACAAAAGUCCAUUUUCCACACUCUCUGAGAGUACUACCAUCAAUAUUCUAAGUUCAAAUAACAUUUCACUAAUUCAGUUUGCAUUUCUUCUAUUACAAUUGAGAUAAAAUUUUCCAUGUUUCUUGGUCAUUUUUGUUUGUUUGUGUGGGCUGUCUUUUGGUAUUCUUUCUCCUUUUGUCCACCAAGUGUCUUUUCUCUUAUUUAUUUGCAAGAAGUGUGUCUAUUGAGAGCAUUGUCUUCAUUAAAGCUGCAAGCUUUUUUUUUUAUAAAUUUCUCUUUUGUCUUUUUUUUCUAUAACUUUGUCUUUUAGAUUCUUAAAAAUGUUAUGUUGUUAAUCUUUCAGUAUUUUUAAAUUCUCUUUUUGUUUGAGUGCAUAUAUAAAUAUAUAUAUCAUCCAAUUUUACUUUUGACAUUAUUUUUUUCAUUCUCUUUAUCUAAAUCUUGGUUCCACUGAGAAUUUAUGUUAGUAUGAGAUACAAUGCAGGGAUCUAACCUUCUUCGAAUUGGUGAGCUUAGUGGUCAAAUAACAUUUAUUGAAAAUAUUCUCUUUGCCUCCUGAUUUUAAUUGGCACCUUUGUCUUAUAUUGUACAUCUGUUUGCAGCUAGAUAUAUUAUUGUUAUUUCAAUUCUAUUUCUAUGUUGAUUAUUCUUGCAAUCAUAUUUUUAUCAUUCUGCAAUGACUUUUAAUAACUUGUUGAAGAGUUCCCUUUCUAUUAUUAUGCUGUUUGAAAUUUUUUGGCUAACUGGCCAUCCUUAAGCAUUUAUUCUUCUACAUGAACAUUCAAUAUUCCUUUUGUCAAUUUUUUUUAAAAUGUUGUUUAGAUUUUUCUUGGAAUUAUGUUACAUUUAUGUUAUUCUGGAAAUAAAGGGCAUCCUUACAAUAUUAGGGAAUUAGUGUGUUUUGCCAUUUGUUGAAGGUGUUUUUCAUGUUCUUCAGUCAUAUUUUAUAGUUCACUCCAUAAAGAUCAAGCAAUUAACUUGCCCAGUUAAUUUGAAGCUGUUUAUAAUUACUGCACAUUGUGACAGAGCUCUCCUCCUCUGCCCUGCCCUCGCUAUCCUGCUCUGAAUAUUUAUGAGUUUUAUAACUGACCAUCUUGUGGAACUCACUCACUAUUAAUACUUUUUCAGCUG